Molecule: ribosomal RNA, 433 nt
Filed under: uncultured bacterium
Lineage: Bacteria
Description: partial 16S ribosomal RNA
Rfam family: Bacterial small subunit ribosomal RNA
Source: RNAcentral
AACGAACGCUGGCGGCAUGCCUAACACAUGCAAGUCGAACGAGACCUUCGGGUCUAGUGGCGCACGGGUGCGUAACGCGUGGGAAUCUGCCCUUCGGUUGGGAAUAACUGAGAGAAAUUUCAGCUAAUACCUUAUAAUGUCUUCGGACCAAAGAUUUAUCGCCGAGGGAUGAGCCCGCGUAGGAUUAGGUAGUUGGUGGGGUAAUGGCCCACCAAGCCGACGAUCCUUAGCUGGUCUGAGAGGAUGAUCAGCCACACUGGGACUGAGACACGGCCCAGACUCCUACGGGAGGCAGCAGUGGGGAAUAUUGGACAAUGGGCGAUAGCCUGAUCCAGCAAUGCCGCGUGAGUGAUGAAGGCCUUAGGGUUGUAAAGCUCUUUGACCCGGGAUGAUAAUGACAGUACCAGGAGAAUAAGCUCCGGCUAACUCCGUG